CCUACGGGAGGCAGCAGUGGGGAAUAGUGGGCAAUGGAGGCAACUCUGACCCAGCAACGCCGCGUGAAUGAUGAAGGUCUUCGGAUUGUAAAGUUCUGUGAUGGGGGAGGAACACAAUGACGGUACCCCAAUAGCAAGCCACGGCUAACUACGGGCCAGCAGCCGCGGUAAUACGUAGGGGGCAAGCGUUAUCCGGAAUGACUGGGCGUAAAGGGUGCGUAGGGGGUUGAGUAAGUUGGCGGGGUAAUUCCGGGGCUCAACCUCGGCGCUCCCGCCCAAACUAUUAGACUAGAGUGCAGGAGGGUUAAGUGGUAUUCCUCGUGUAGCGGUGUAAUGCGUCUAUAUUAGGCGG
RNAcentral lists this ribosomal RNA (352 nucleotides) under uncultured bacterium. RNAcentral's name for it is "partial 16S ribosomal RNA". It matches the Rfam family "Bacterial small subunit ribosomal RNA", at positions 338 to 704 of the family's 1533-position model. The record is from RNAcentral.